This 292-nucleotide ribosomal RNA is filed under the name uncultured bacterium. RNAcentral's name for it is "partial 16S ribosomal RNA". The record is from RNAcentral.
GGACUACUGGGGUAUCUAAUCCUGUUUGCUCCCCACGCUUUCGUGCAUGAGCGUCAGUAUCAUCCCAGGGGGCUGCCUUCGCCAUUGGUGUUCCUCCACAUCUCUACGCAUUUCACUGCUACACGUGGAAUUCCACCCCCCUCUGACGUACUCUAGCUUGCCAGUUCCAAACGCAAUUCCCAGGUUGAGCCCGGGGCUUUCACAUCUGGCUUAACAAGCCGCCUGCGCACGCUUUACGCCCAGUAAUUCCGAUUAACGCUUGCACCCUACGUAUUACCGCGGCUGCUGGCAC